This 778-nucleotide ribosomal RNA is filed under the name uncultured Neocallimastigales. Its description in RNAcentral is "partial large subunit ribosomal RNA". It matches the Rfam family "Eukaryotic large subunit ribosomal RNA", at positions 24 to 644 of the family's 3401-position model. The record is from RNAcentral. Lineage: Eukaryota; Fungi; Neocallimastigomycota; Neocallimastigomycetes; Neocallimastigales.
UAUGUGAUCGUCUCUCGCAUAUCAAUAAGCGGAGGAAAAGAAACUAACAAGGAUUCCCUUAGUAACGGCGAGUGAACGGGGAGGAGCCCAGCGCUGAAUCUCUCGGUGUUAUGCCGUUGAGAAGUGUAGCGUAUAGGUGUGGCUUUCAGUUUGUGCCGCAUGUCCAAAGUCCCUUUGAUAGGGGCCACAUUCCCGAGAGGGUGCGAGACCUGUGCGGACAGUGGAGCAAGCUGUAUGGACAUAUCUUGGAGUCGGGUUGCUUGAAAGUGCAGCCUAAAGUGGGUGAUAAACUUCAUCUAAGGCUAAAUAUUGGCGAGAGACCGAUAGCGAACAAGUACCGUGAGGGAAAGAUGAAAAGAACUUUGAAAAGAGAGUUAAACAGUACGUGAAAUUGUCAAAAGGGAAGCGUUUGACACCAGUGUUGUUUUUCUGAAAAUCAAUUAAAGAACUGUUUAUGCUAAGUUGUUUAGACUUUAUCAGCUAACUGUUUAGUUUUGAGCUUUUCUUUAAUGCACUUUUCAGUUAACAAGUCAACAUCAAUUUCUUUUGCUGUAAAAAAGCUUGAGGAAGGUGGCUUGAGAUUCGUCUUAAGUGUUUAUAGCCUCUUGCCUAUGCAGUCGGAGAGAUUGAGGUCUGCAGCGUAGAUCCUUCGGGGCUAAAUGCAUUUGUGCUAAGUUAUAGCAUUUUAUAGACAACUUGUUGACUAUGAUUUGUCUUGUAGCUUACUCGCUUAUGUUAUUUUACCUACGCUUAGGAUGUUGAAGAUAUGCGCGACACG